AGGUAACAGCUGGUUAGGUUAGGUCAGGUUAGGCUAUAGGUUAGUUUAGGUUAGUCUGUAGAGGUAACAGCUGGUUAGGUUAGGUCAGGUUAGGCUAUAGGUUAGUUUAGGUUAGUCUGUAGAGGUAACAGCUGGUUAGGUUAGGUCAGGUUAGGCUAUAGGUUAGUUUAGGUUAGUCUGUAGAGGUAACAGCUGGUUAGGUUGGGUCAGGUUAGGCUAUAGGUUAGUUUAGGUUAGUCUGUAGAGGUAACAGCUGGUCAGGUUGGGUCAGGUUAGGCUAUAGGUUAGUUUAGGUUAGUCUGUAGAGGUAACAGCUGGUUAGGUCGGGUCAGGUUAGGCUAUAGGUUAGUUUAGGUUAGGUUAGUCUGUAGAGGUAACAGCUGGUUAGGUCGGGUCAGG
Sinocyclocheilus rhinocerous is the source of this 399-nucleotide long non-coding RNA. RefSeq lists it as uncharacterized. The transcript is spliced from 3 exons. NCBI's taxonomy places the organism in Eukaryota, Metazoa, Chordata, Actinopteri, Cypriniformes, Cyprinidae. The record is from RefSeq and is a predicted model, not a curated record.